Molecule: non-coding RNA, 76 nt
Organism: Cordylochernes scorpioides
Lineage: Eukaryota; Metazoa; Arthropoda; Arachnida; Pseudoscorpiones; Chernetidae
Source: the annotation of a GenBank genome assembly
UGCAUCGGCCGGGAAUCGAACUCCUGGCCGCCCGCGUGCUGGCAGGCAGCAUUCUACCACUGAACCACCGAUAUGC